RNAcentral lists this ribosomal RNA (373 nucleotides) under uncultured organism. RNAcentral's name for it is "bacterial SSU rRNA". It matches the Rfam family "Bacterial small subunit ribosomal RNA", at positions 527 to 896 of the family's 1533-position model. The record is from RNAcentral.
CGGGGGAGCAAGCGUUGUUCGGAUUUACUGGGCGUAAAGGGCGCGUAGGCGGCCACCGCAAGUCGGUUGUGAAAUCUCCGGGCUUAACCCGGAAAGGUCAACCGAUACUGCGGGGCUAGAGUGCAGAAGGGGCAACUGGAAUUCUCGGUGUAGCGGUGAAAUGCGUAGAUAUCGAGAGGAACACCUGCGGCGAAGGCGGGUUGCUGGGCUGACACUGACGCUGAGGCGCGAAAGCUAGGGGAGCGAACGGGAUUAGAUACCCCGGUAGUCCUAGCCUUAAACGAUGGAUGCUUGGUGUCUGGGGUUUUAUAGUCCCCGGGUGCCGUCGCUAGCGCUUUAAGCAUCCCGCCUGGGGAGUACGGUCGCAAGACUG